This 278-nucleotide ribosomal RNA is filed under the name uncultured prokaryote. RNAcentral describes it as "partial 16S ribosomal RNA". It matches the Rfam family "Bacterial small subunit ribosomal RNA", at positions 524 to 801 of the family's 1533-position model. The record is from RNAcentral.
UACGUAGGGGGCGAGCGUUGUCCGGAAUGACUGGGCGUAAAGGGCGUGUAGGCGGCCGAUUAAGUAUGAAGUGAAAGUCCUGCUUUCAAGGUGGGAAUUGCUUUGUAGACUGGUUGGCUUGAGUGCGGAAGAGGUAAGUGGAAUUCCCAGUGUAGCGGUGAAAUGCGUAGAGAUUGGGAGGAACACCAGUGGCGAAGGCGACUUACUGGGCCGUAACUGACGCUGAGGCGCGAAAGCGUGGGGAGCGAACAGGAUUAGAUACCCCGGUAGUCCCUGAG